GAUGAACGCUGGCGGCGUGCCUUAUACAUGCAAGUCGAGCGAACAGACGAGGAGCUUGCUCCUCUGACGUUAGCGGCGGACGGGUGAGUAACACGUGGAUAACCUACCUAUAAGACUGGGAUAACUUCGGGAAGCCGGAGCUAAUACCGGAUAAUAUAUUGAACCGCAUGGUUCAAUAGUGAAAGACGGUUUUGCUGUCACUUAUAGAUGGAUCCGCGCCGCAUUAGCUAGUUGGUAAGGUAACGGCUUACCAAGGCAACGAUGCGUAGCCGACCUGAGAGGGUGAUCGGCCACACUGGAACUGAGACACGGUCCAGACUCCUACGGGAGGCAGCAGUAGGGAAUCUUCCGCAAUGGGCGAAAGCCUGACGGAGCAACGCCGCGUGAGUGAUGAAGGUCUUCGGAUCGUAAAACUCUGUUAUUAGGGAAGAACAAAUGUGUAAGUAACUAUGCACGUCUUGACGGUACCUAAUCAGAAAGCCACGGCUAACUACGUG
Molecule: ribosomal RNA, 497 nt
Filed under: uncultured bacterium
Lineage: Bacteria
Description: partial 16S ribosomal RNA
Rfam family: Bacterial small subunit ribosomal RNA
Source: RNAcentral